Molecule: ribosomal RNA, 725 nt
Filed under: Streptomyces sp.
Lineage: Bacteria; Bacillati; Actinomycetota; Actinomycetes; Kitasatosporales; Streptomycetaceae
Description: bacterial SSU rRNA
Rfam family: Bacterial small subunit ribosomal RNA
Source: RNAcentral
GUGGGGAUUAGUGGCGAACGGGUGAGUAACACGUGGGCAAUCUGCCCUGCACUCUGGGACAAGCCCUGGAAACGGGGUCUAAUACCGGAUACGACGCGCUCAGGCAUCUGAUGCGCGUGGAAAGCUCCGGCGGUGCAGGAUGAGCCCGCGGCCUAUCAGCUUGUUGGUGAGGUAACGGCUCACCAAGGCGACGACGGGUAGCCGGCCUGAGAGGGCGACCGGCCACACUGGGACUGAGACACGGCCCAGACUCCUACGGGAGGCAGCAGUGGGGAAUAUUGCACAAUGGGCGAAAGCCUGAUGCAGCGACGCCGCGUGAGGGAUGACGGCCUUCGGGUUGUAAACCUCUUUCAGCAGGGAAGAAGCGAAAGUGACGGUACCUGCAGAAGAAGCGCCGGCUAACUACGUGCCAGCAGCCGCGGUAAUACGUAGGGCGCGAGCGUUGUCCGGAAUUAUUGGGCGUAAAGAGCUCGUAGGCGGCUUGUCGCGUCGGUUGUGAAAGCCCGGGGCUUAACCCCGGGUCUGCAGUCGAUACGGGCAGGCUAGAGUUCGGUAGGGGAGAUCGGAAUUCCUGGUGUAGCGGUGAAAUGCGCAGAUAUCAGGAGGAACACCGGUGGCGAAGGCGGAUCUCUGGGCCGAUACUGACGCUAAGGAGCGAAAGCGUGGGGAGCGAACAGGAUUAGAUACCCUGGUAGUCCACGCCGUAAACGGUGGGCACUAGGUGU